UUUGGUUAAGUAAUUCUUUCUUCUGUGUGAUAAAAUUAUUAAUUGCCACAUUUUCAGAAUUAAAUAUUAUUAAUCCAGUUCUACAAUGAUAUUCCAUCUGCAAAGUUCAUAUCAACUUUGUUUUAAUAUAUAUUAAUAUAAUAUAAAUCAAUUUUGACAAAACAAAUUUUAUCUGUAGGAAAAUUGCCUCUAUAAUAAUGCCAGGUAGCUGGAAAGAACCACAGAAGAAGGUAAUGUAAAUAUAAAUGUGUGUUGCUAGUAUAAGACAAAAAACACACACAGAUAUCUCCUUUACUAAUCACCUCUUCAUAUGAUCGAAUCUACACAAACAGACUGACAGCCUGGACUGCUCAGGAGCAUUUGAUUUCAGUCAGGAAGACAUGCCAAAAAUUAGAAGAUGGUGGUGUCAUCUCUUACUU
Long non-coding RNA from Polypterus senegalus (gray bichir), 419 nucleotides. RefSeq lists it as uncharacterized. The transcript has 3 exons. The record is from RefSeq and is a predicted model, not a curated record. Lineage: Eukaryota; Metazoa; Chordata; Cladistia; Polypteriformes; Polypteridae.